This 468-nucleotide ribosomal RNA is filed under the name uncultured bacterium. RNAcentral describes it as "partial 16S ribosomal RNA". It matches the Rfam family "Bacterial small subunit ribosomal RNA", at positions 28 to 507 of the family's 1533-position model. The record is from RNAcentral.
GACGAACGCUGGCGGCGUGCUUAACACAUGCAAGUCGAACGGAAAGGCCCUGCUUUUGUGGGGUGCUCGAGUGGCGAACGGGUGAGUAGCACGUGAGUAACCUGCCCUUGACUUUGGGAUAACUUCAGGAAACUGGGGCUAAUACCGGAUAGGAGCUCCUGCUGCAUGGUGGGGGUUGGAAAGUUUCGGCGGUUGGGGAUGGACUCGCGGCUUAUCAGCUUGUUGGUGGGGUAGUGGCUUACCAAGGCUUUGACGGGUAGCCGGCCUGAGAGGGUGACCGGCCACAUUGGGACUGAGAUACGGCCCAGACUCCUACGGGAGGCAGCAGUGGGGAAUAUUGCACAAUGGGCGGAAGCCUGAUGCAGCAACGCCGCGUGCGGGAUGACGGCCGUCGGGUUGUAAACCGCUUUCGCCUGUUACGAAGCGUGAGUGACGGUAAUGGGUAAAGAAGCACCGGCUAACUACGUG